RNAcentral lists this ribosomal RNA (381 nucleotides) under uncultured eukaryote. RNAcentral describes it as "partial 18S ribosomal RNA". It matches the Rfam family "Eukaryotic small subunit ribosomal RNA", at positions 592 to 975 of the family's 1831-position model. The record is from RNAcentral.
CAAUAGCGUAUAUUAAAGUUGUUGCAGUUAAAAAGCUCGUAGUCGGAUUUCUGGUUGAAGCGACCGGUCGGGCGUUGAUUCGUCUGCACUGGAGUCGGUUUUGGCCAUCCUCUAGGAAAGUGCGUCUGGUAUUAAGUUAUCGGGCGUAUGAUCCUGGUCUUUUACUGUGAAAAAAUUAGAGUGUUUAAAGCAGGCCUUCGCCUUGAAUACAUUAGCAUGGAAUAAUAAGAUAGGACUUUGGUCUAUUUUGUUGGUUUGCAGACCGAAGUAAUGAUUAAUAGGGAUAGUUGGGGGUAUUUAUAUUCCGAUGUCAGAGGUGAAAUUCUUAGAUUUUCGGAAGAUAAACUUAUGCGAAAGCAUUUACCAAGGAUGUUUUCAUUA